Molecule: ribosomal RNA, 330 nt
Filed under: uncultured bacterium
Lineage: Bacteria
Description: bacterial SSU rRNA
Rfam family: Bacterial small subunit ribosomal RNA
Source: RNAcentral
UGCGUAGGCGGUCCUAUAAGUCUGGUGUGAAAUCUCCCGGCUCAACUGGGAGGGUGCGCCGGAUACUGUGGGGCUCGAGUGUGGGAGAGGAAAGUGGAGUUCCUGGUGUAGCGGUGAAAUGCGUAGAUAUCAGGAGGAACACCGGUGGUGUAAACGGCUUUCUGGACCAUUACUGACGCUGAUGCACGAAAGCGUGGGUAGCAAACAGGAUUAGAUACCCUGGUAGUCCACGCCCUAAACGAUGCAUAUUUGGUGUGGGCCAUUCAGUUGGUCCGUGCCGGAGCUAACGCGUUAAAUAUGCCGCCUGGGGAGUACAGUCGCAAGGCUGAA